Molecule: ribosomal RNA, 766 nt
Filed under: Priestia aryabhattai
Lineage: Bacteria; Bacillati; Bacillota; Bacilli; Caryophanales; Bacillaceae
Description: bacterial SSU rRNA
Rfam family: Bacterial small subunit ribosomal RNA
Source: RNAcentral
CCGAAGCUAAUACCGGAUAGGAUCUUCUCCUUCAUGGGAGAUGAUUGAAAGAUGGUUUCGGCUAUCACUUACAGAUGGGCCCGCGGUGCAUUAGCUAGUUGGUGAGGUAACGGCUCACCAAGGCAACGAUGCAUAGCCGACCUGAGAGGGUGAUCGGCCACACUGGGACUGAGACACGGCCCAGACUCCUACGGGAGGCAGCAGUAGGGAAUCUUCCGCAAUGGACGAAAGUCUGACGGAGCAACGCCGCGUGAGUGAUGAAGGCUUUCGGGUCGUAAAACUCUGUUGUUAGGGAAGAACAAGUACAAGAGUAACUGCUUGUACCUUGACGGUACCUAACCAGAAAGCCACGGCUAACUCCGUGCCAGCAGCCGCGGUAAUACGUAGGUGGCAAGCGUUAUCCGGAAUUAUUGGGCGUAAAGCGCGCGCAGGCGGUUUCUUAAGUCUGAUGUGAAAGCCCACGGCUCAACCGUGGAGGGUCAUUGGAAACUGGGGAACUUGAGUGCAGAAGAGAAAAGCGGAAUUCCACGUGUAGCGGUGAAAUGCGUAGAGAUGUGGAGGAACACCAGUGGCGAAGGCGGCUUUUUGGUCUGUAACUGACGCUGAGGCGCGAAAGCGUGGGGGAGCAAACAGGAUUAGAUACCCUGGUAGUCCACGCCGUAAACGAUGAGUGCUAAGUGUUUAGAGGGUUUCCGCCCUUUAGUGCUGCAGCUAACGCAUUAAGCAACUCGCCUGGGGGAGUACGGGUCGCAAGACUGAAACUCAA